CAGGACGGGACAUAAGAAGGGGGGGGGCAAAACCCAAGCACUCGUCUCUAGUCAGCGCUGCCCCCCUGCCAAGCCUGGUCUGCACAUUCCUUAAGGGGACACACUUCCCGAAAACAACCCAGGGAAAUAAGCUGAAAAAGAGAGCGGAAAACGGCAAAAACUUUCCUGGGAAGUCCGGCUGCCUGAGAGCCCAGAGCCUGUUCCAUCCAACAUGGCAGUGUCAGGACGAGACCAUUAUUGUGUGAUGGGGGUGACGCAGUGACUCAACCGUGUCCAUUAAACGUAACGAGAAAGAGUGUGGUACAGUCCAGUCCGCCCCUGGCUUUUAUGACAGGAAUGUGUGCAGAAUGGGAGGAGGUAAGUCAAGAGACAAGGUGCAUGUUGCCAACAUAAUAGUCUUAGCUCCUUCGCUUACUUUUAAAAUUAAUGCAAAUCUUACACCACCUUUAAAUUAAACACCUUAUCUUGAAGCACUGACUUAUUUAAAUGAUAAUUCACUUCCUCUGAAGGAAGCAAAAAGGUUAUUGAAGUGAUUUCUCCCUUGGAUUUAAGACUCAUUAGCUACUGGGAUGAUUCAUGACAAUGCACUAAAUAUAGCUGACAAUACAUUGAGGUAAAAUUAAGACUGCUCCAGUUGCUGUGCGUACCCUCAGGGGUAGCAUGACCGGCACUUGAAUGUUAUUUCUGCACUGCCAUCGAUUUUCUAUAUCGCUUGGCCUUAAUAGGAUCACAGGUGAGCUGGAGCCUAUCCCAGUGGGGUAAACCCUUAGACAAACAAGCAUCCACAUUCACAUUCAAAUAAUUUUAUGUGUCUCUUCAUUCAUUUUUUAUUAUCAUAACUUUUGUAAUUUAAUCGCUUGCAUGACUAAUUUUGUCACUAUUGUCCGUGGAUUUUGCAACAUGCUGCGUCAAGCUCAUCAAUGGGUGUUGGUUGCGUUGUGGAAAGAAUAUACACUCCAUUUGUGAUUUUGACGCAUGCUUUAUUUAAAAUCAAAUCAAAUCAACUUUAUUUGUAUAACACUUUUCCUGCAAAGACAUGAAACACAAAGUGCUUUACAGAAUUAAAACAAUUACCACAAUUAAAAGGAAAAAACAAAACAAAA
Molecule: non-coding RNA, 1103 nt
Organism: Doryrhamphus excisus (bluestripe pipefish)
Lineage: Eukaryota; Metazoa; Chordata; Actinopteri; Syngnathiformes; Syngnathidae
Source: RefSeq, a predicted model, not a curated record